GUCAUAGCUCAGUAGUAGAGCACAAGCUUUGCAUGCAGAAGGUUCCAGGUUCAAUCCCCGGUAUCUCCA
Molecule: non-coding RNA, 69 nt
Organism: Podarcis lilfordi (Lilford's wall lizard)
Lineage: Eukaryota; Metazoa; Chordata; Lepidosauria; Squamata; Lacertidae
Source: the annotation of a GenBank genome assembly